RNAcentral lists this ribosomal RNA (552 nucleotides) under uncultured bacterium. RNAcentral's name for it is "partial 16S ribosomal RNA". It matches the Rfam family "Bacterial small subunit ribosomal RNA", at positions 355 to 901 of the family's 1533-position model. The record is from RNAcentral.
UGGGGAAUUUUGGACAAUGGGGGCAACCCUGAUCCAGCAAUGCCGCGUGUGUGAAGAAGGCCUUCGGGUUGUAAAGCACUUUUGUCCGGAAAGAAAACGCCGUGGUUAAUACCCGUGGCGGAUGACGGUACCGGAAGAAUAAGCACCGGCUAACUACGUGCCAGCAGCCGCGGUAAUACGUAGGGUGCAAGCGUUAAUCGGAAUUACUGGGCGUAAAGCGUGCGCAGGCGGUCCGCUAAGACAGAUGUGAAAUCCCCGGGCUUAACCUGGGAACUGCAUUUGUGACUGGCGGGCUAGAGUAUGGCAGAGGGGGGUAGAAUUCCACGUGUAGCAGUGAAAUGCGUAGAGAUGUGGAGGAAUACCGAUGGCGAAGGCAGCCCCCUGGGCCAAUACUGACGCUCAUGCACGAAAGCGUGGGGAGCAAACAGGAUUAGAUACCCUGGUAGUCCACGCCCUAAACGAUGUCAACUAGUUGUCGGGUCUUCAUUGACUUGGUAACGUAGCUAACGCGUGAAGUUGACGCCUGGGGAGUACGGUCGCAAGAUUAAAACU